Molecule: transfer RNA, 100 nt
Filed under: Chitinophagaceae bacterium
Lineage: Bacteria; Pseudomonadati; Bacteroidota; Chitinophagia; Chitinophagales; Chitinophagaceae
Description: tRNA-Arg
Rfam family: tRNA
About the family: Transfer RNA (tRNA) molecules are approximately 80 nucleotides in length. Their secondary structure includes four short double-helical elements and three loops (D, anti-codon, and T loops).
Source: RNAcentral
GGUCCCAUAGUUCAAUGGAUAUCCGCCCGGCCAAAGCCUUUCGGACGGGGAAUAGAAGUUUCCUAAACUUUUGAUGCAAGUUCGAUUCUUGCUGGGACUA